CCUAACAGUUUAUCUAACCUGCUUGCAAGCCCUGUACCUUGUGCUGAAAAUUUGGGCAAAAACAAUGAAAAUCACAUCUAGAUAAACAUCGAAUAGCUCAUAAAAUCUAAGCGCCAUUACGUGGGAAUGUUUCUAGUAGGUUUUAACAUCCUUUUCGUGUUUUCUUGGAGUACAUUGGGUACAAGUCAGUGGUUUUGGAAAGAAGGUUAAGUUUCCUGACGGCCUUCCUUUUCAUUAUGCAACCGAACUUCAGCCUCACAACUGCAGACCGCAGCCCUUUUAGAAGCCGUCAAGUUUGGGGAGGCACCCCCCCCCCCAAAAAAAACGGUCUCAGGUCCUGCGAGGUGGUUUUGAUGUUUAUACCUCACCCGGCUCAUUUGGCCUUUUAUUCGUAAAAUACAGCUACUCCGGGUUAUCCACUUAACAAUUCUACUAAUUGUAGAAAUCCACUUCCGGAAAAGAUCUCAGCAGUCACCGUUUACUCUUGUCCCCUGCAAGAGAGCUGGACCCAUCUGAAAGGCUUAACACAAGGGUGGGCUUGUUACUUUUGUUGUUGAUUUUGUCUUUACUAAAUACCAGCUAGACUCCUACACUUUUGGUAGUCUUGUUUAGACAUAGCCUGGACUUUUUGUUCUUUCCAAACGUGUGCUGUUUCAAGUAUCCGGAAAAGCCAACGGUUUCACUGUCAAAGACAGACCUUCGGCUACCACUCGCGGAAGGAACGUGUUCUAAAAUGUUUAUGAACCUUUACUUAAGCGUUUACUAGGUUUUUGUGGUGCCCCCUCCCCAAAUUUUGUAUUAUCUCCAGUUUGAUUCCCUUAAGACUUUUAAAAGUAGAGCACAAAGGGAAAUAACUUUUUCCCAAACCCAAAGCCUUUUCUUUGUCCAGGUUAAUCAGUAGUCCAUCUUAAAAACACGUUCUCUGGACUACCAAAAGGGAAAUCCGAGGGAAGCACCGGGAAAGGAGAACUGCUGCGUCUCCGACGUUUGAAGACAUGCCUCAGUUCUCCCGACUGCAAGGGGGACCUGUCUCACGGGCGAGGGCUGAGGAUUUAGAAAAGACAAUGGCGCCGGUGGUUUCCAGACACGCCUUCCACGCAGCUAAAGCGACUGCGGCGACAAGAAACCAGGAAGAGGCCAAGCGGGACAGGAGAUGCUGCCUUUCUUUUCAGCCCGGAUGGCCUAACCUUCACGUCUUCCGUCUUUUGUCAUUGCAUUAUCGCAAAGUCAUCCAUUAACUAAAAAUUUUCGCACAUCAUCCUUCCUCUUUAAUUGUUCAUUGUAACAGCCCUUGAGUGUUUGUACGUCACCAGAUUUUGUUAAUCUAGGUUGCUUGAAACAGAAGGGGUCUCAGAGAUUGACCUAACACAGCUGCCUGUUUUUGUUUGUUUUUUUUUGGAAGGGGGUGUUAGUUGUUUUUUGAGGAGAGCAGUGGUGAGAUAAAGUGGAACGCUGCAGGGCACAUGGUGAUUUAAAACCUAGACCCCAGGACAGGGUGGCCCCACUCUCUGACCCUCUCUUAACUCCAGAGUUUUUAAUUCUAGAACGUGUGCAGAUGUUUACGCAGUACAUUCCAAAAGGAGUAAAUGGAGUCCAUUGGCACGGUAUAGGUUAGGAUGGCCUCUUAAAGACUCUAAUCUGUAUUUUUAAAACCCCUUUGGUUCUUAAAAAUGGCACUGGUUGUGAAAGGGUGAGGGAGCAAGCUUGGGGGCCUUUAGCAAGUGAGGGUUCUGUACCCUGUGCUAACCUCAUAACUUUACUAACCGCCCCCCCUUCCCCGAUAAAGCAAGGCUAGCUUAAGCAGCUAAUUAAAGUGAUGUUGGUGAAGCUGUACUUUUUUAAUCAAUCUUUCUCCCUGUAAGAGUGGAAUAUUACAGAGAAGCCGAUGGUUCCCCUCAGACGCAGUUUUGAUAUUUGCUCAGGCACUGGAAAAUUUUUAGUAGAUUUUUAGGACUGGAAGGAGGAAAAACUGAGUUGGGUCACCUCAUUUUACAAAUGGGAAUUUGGGGGCCUGGGGAGUUUGGGAUUUGCUUAAAAUCAGACACAGCUAAUUAGUA
Molecule: long non-coding RNA, 2057 nt
Organism: Bubalus bubalis (water buffalo)
Lineage: Eukaryota; Metazoa; Chordata; Mammalia; Artiodactyla; Bovidae
Exons: 2
Source: RefSeq, a predicted model, not a curated record